Molecule: ribosomal RNA, 457 nt
Filed under: uncultured bacterium
Lineage: Bacteria
Description: partial 16S ribosomal RNA
Rfam family: Bacterial small subunit ribosomal RNA
Source: RNAcentral
CCUACGGGAGGCAGCAGUGGGGAAUAUUGCACAAUGGGGGAAACCCUGAUGCAGCGACGCCGCGUGAGUGAAGACGUAUUUCGGUAUGUAAAGCUCUAUCAGCAGGGAAGAAACCCACCCUCCGGGGUGGCUGACGGUACCUGACUAAGAAGCCCCGGCUAACUACGUGCCAGCAGCCGCGGUAAUACGUAGGGGGCAAGCGUUAUCCGGAUAUACUGGGUGGAAAGGGAGCGUAGGUGGCAAGGCAAGUCGGAUGUGAAAACCCGGGGCCCAACCCCGGGAGUGCAUUUGAAACUGUCUGGCUAGAGUGCAGGAGAGGUAAGUGGAAUUCCUAGUGUAGCGGUGAAAUGCGUAGAUAUCAGGAGGAACACCGGCGGCGAAGGCGGCCUGCUGGACUGCGACUGACGUUGAGGCUCGAAAGCGUGGGGAGCGAACAGGAUUAGAUACCCUUGUAGUC